AUGGACGAAAGUCUGACCGAGCAACGCCGCGUGAGUGAAGAAGGUUUUCGGAUCGUAAAGCUCUGUUGUAAGUCGAGAACGUGUGUGAGAGUGGAAAGUUCACACAGUGACGGUAGCUUACCAGAAAGGGACGGCUAACUACGUGCCAGCAGCCGCGGUAAUACGUAGGUCCCGAGCGUUGUCCGGAUUUAUUGGGCGUAAAGGGAGCGCAGGCGGUCAGGAAAGUCUGGAGUAAAAGGCUAUGGCUCAACCAUAGUGUGCUCUGGAAACUGUCUGACUUGAGUGCAGAAGGGGAGAGUGGAAUUCCAUGUGUAGCGGUGAAAUGCGUAGAUAUAUGGAGGAACACCAGUGGCGAAAGCGGCUCUCUGGUCUGUCACUGACGCUGAGGCUCGAAAGCGUGGGUAGCGAACAGGAUUAGAUACCCUGGUAGUCCACGCCGUAAACGAUGAGUGCUAGGUGUUAGGCCCUUUCCGGGGCUUAGUGCCGGAGCUAACGCAAUAAGCACUCCGCCUGGGGAGUACGACCGCAAGGUUGAAACUCAAAGGAAUUGACGGGGGCCCGCACAAGCGGUGGAGCAUGUGGUUUAAUUCGAAGCAACGCGAAGAACCUUACCAGGUCUUGACAUCCCGAUGCUAUUCUUAGAGAUAGGAAGUUACUUCGGUACAUCGGAGACAGGUGGUGCAUGGUUGUCGUCAGCUCGUGUCGUGAGAUGU
This 713-nucleotide ribosomal RNA is filed under the name Streptococcus mutans. Its description in RNAcentral is "bacterial SSU rRNA". It matches the Rfam family "Bacterial small subunit ribosomal RNA", at positions 371 to 1075 of the family's 1533-position model. The record is from RNAcentral. Lineage: Bacteria; Bacillati; Bacillota; Bacilli; Lactobacillales; Streptococcaceae.